CUUGGUCAUUUAGAGGAAGUAAAAGUCGUAACAAGGUUUCCGUAGGUGAACCUGCGGAAGGAUCAUUAUUGAAGUGAAGGAGGGUUGUUGCUGGCCUCUAUGGGCACUGUGCACACCUUUCUUGUUCUUCCAUUCCACCUGUGCAUUGGUGUAGGCAUGACCCAAGUGGACAUGUCUAUGAUUUUUACUACUACUACACGCAUUUUUCUGAAUGUCAUUGGUAUAUAUAUAAAAUGUACAACUUUCAACAACGGAUCUCUUGGCUCUCGCAUCGAUGAAGAACGCAGCGAAAUGCGAUAAGUAAUGUGUAUUGCAGAAUUCAGUGAAUCAUCGAAUCUUUGAACGCAUCUUGCGCUCCUUGGUAUUCUGAGGAGCAUGCCUGUUUGAGUGUCAUUAAAUUAUCUCAAAAACACAUUUUUUGAUGUGCUUUUGGACUAUGGGUCUGCUGGCUGAAAUGAGCCAGCUCUCCUGAAAAGAAUUAGUUGGGGUCCUGUGUCAAUGCUGGUCUCCCCUCUCUGGUGUGAUAAAUUGUUCAUGCCAUGGAGGGGUCAGGGUUGACUAGUGGUCUCUGCUCUCUAACUUGCUUGUUGAGCACUUUUUUUUUAUUUGACCUCAAAUCAGGUAGGAAUACCUGCUGAACUUAAGCAUAUCAAUAAGCGGAGG
This 663-nucleotide ribosomal RNA is filed under the name Amanita grandis. RNAcentral's name for it is "eukaryotic LSU rRNA". The stretch from base 240 to 393 matches the Rfam family "5.8S ribosomal RNA". Lineage: Eukaryota; Fungi; Basidiomycota; Agaricomycetes; Agaricales; Amanitaceae. The record is from RNAcentral.